UCCGAAUUGGUGUAGUGGCUAACAUUUGACGCUCUCAACUGCCUUCUUUACCUCUUUAUUCGAGGUUAGGAAAUAAGUAAAAAAGUGCCGUCAAGCCCGGGGUUCGAUUCCCCGAUUCGGAG
Xylaria acuta is the source of this 122-nucleotide non-coding RNA. NCBI's taxonomy places the organism in Eukaryota, Fungi, Ascomycota, Sordariomycetes, Xylariales, Xylariaceae. The record is from the annotation of a GenBank genome assembly.